Molecule: long non-coding RNA, 864 nt
Filed under: Homo sapiens (human)
Lineage: Eukaryota; Metazoa; Chordata; Mammalia; Primates; Hominidae
Description: LHRI_LNC703.2
Source: RNAcentral
CUCACCCUGGGACGUGAUGGGAGGGCAGAAGCAGGGAGAGGAAGUGCCCUCAGUGAGGCUCAGCAUGGGGCACAGAGAGGAACAGUCACCCCUCCUCUCCCAGCAGCCUGCCCAGGGCACCUGCACCCUGCAUUCUAAGAGGGACACAAGGCGCUGCUGGCGGUGUGUCUGCAGGACCCACAAGAAUGCCUGCUGGUGACGUUUCAGCAGGACUCUCCAGCAACCCCACUCCUGAGCACGUGACGAACAUAAGCCAUCUUCAUAUGCCACCAGAAGACGAGCCUCGGGAGCAGUUUUAGUUCUAAGAGCUCCAAGCUGAAAGCCGACUGCCUGUCAUCCUUGACCACCUGUCCACAAGGAAGAAGGGGUACAUUUUCCUAGAUUCACACAACUGAAUGCUACACACCCGUGAAAAAGAACAAGUUACAGGUCCAGGCAACAAUGAGGAUGAACCUCACAAACAUAACAUGAAGCAGAAGGAGGCAGACAUGAAAGAGUACAGACUGCAGCAUUCCACUCAUAGGAAGUCCAAGCAUGGGCAACGAAUCCAUGCGGCUAGAGGCUACAAGAAUUCUCCAAAGCAUUAUCUAAGUCCUGGAAGAGCAAUUACAGUUUUGGUACCAAAAGUAGGAGCGACCAGCCAGGCUCUCCCCCACAGACAACAGCACCUGCCCACGGCCAGCCUCCUGCGAUGAGUCACAGGUGCCACGUGAAAUGCAUUAUACACACUCAGGGACAGACACGCAAAUGCUCCACUCAUGAAGGAUACAGAAAUAGAUGGAGGAGCUUCUUGGUCAUUGUUUACUUCUCAAAAAUGGAAUCAUUCUAUACAUCCUUAUGCACAUGUUAACUUCUUACUCAAAG